The submitters of this non-coding RNA (81 nucleotides) gave its source as unclassified sequences. The record is from Rfam.
AUACUGAAAUGCAUGGUGGGAAAUAAGUGCAUAAUUAGCUUGCUGUACCUGCAACCGUGAAGUCGGAGCGCCACCCAGUAU